Molecule: ribosomal RNA, 497 nt
Filed under: uncultured bacterium
Lineage: Bacteria
Description: partial 16S ribosomal RNA
Rfam family: Bacterial small subunit ribosomal RNA
Source: RNAcentral
GAUGAACGCUGGCGGCGUGCCUAAUACAUGCAAGUCGAGCGGACGGACGAGGAGCUUGCUUCUCUCAUGUUAGCGGCGGACGGGUGAGUAACACGUGGAUCACCCACCUAUCAGACUGGGAUCACUUCGGGACACCGGCGCUAAUACCGGAUAAUCUUUUGAACCGCAUGGUUCAAAAGUGAAAGACGGUCUUGCUGUCACUUCUAGAUGGAUCCGCGCUGCAUUAGCUAGUUGGUAAGUUAACGGCCUACGAAGGCAACUAUGCAUAGCCGACCUGAGAGGGUGAUAGGCGACCCUGGAACUGAGACGCGGUCCAGAGGCCUACGGGAGGCAGCAGUAGGGAAUCUGCCGCAAUGGGCGAAAGCCUGACGGAGCAACGCCGCGUGAGUGAUGAAGGUCUUCGGAUCGUAAAACUCUGUUAUUAGGGAAGAACAGAUGUGUAAGUAACUGUGCACAUCUUGACGGUACCUAGUCAGAAAGCCACGGCUAACUACAUG